GCUUAUAUACACAGGUGGUUUUCAACAAACUCAGCUGCAUGUGAUUGUACACUGGGUCUAUUCAUUCACAUGACUGUGUCUUAUGUCACACACUUUCUCCAGCACAUGGUUUACCAGAGAUGGUCAACCUCAGCUUGUGGAUCGGGUAUCCUCUACCUCGGCAACAAUCUGUUGGCACCUUUACACAGGCAGAAAAUAGAGAAACCAGCACACGGGGCAAUUUCCUGUCUUCCCUCUUCCAUGUUGGAUUUUAAAAUAGAUCUUUUAGGGUCCAGGAAGACAUGGAUUGACAAGGAUGGCAUGGAAGAACUUCAGUGGCCUACAUUCAGCACUGCCCACAACUACACUGAACCUCUGAACCACUGAUCACUAACUAUAUGUCAGGAGAAUUCCGGUGUGGACUUGUGUGGAUCUGCACUAUUUAAUUUUUCAGCAUUACCUGGGGGAUAAUUUUCUCAACAGAAUUUUGCCCACUCUACAGUAUAUGCCAAGUCAAGUGGAAAAAGUGUCAAAUGUCUGUCCAUUCAUCUUCAUCAAGGGGUCCUCUGUGAAACCAGACAGGAACAAACCAUAGAAACCCAACUGCAAGGAAAUAUGAGCCCCGUCUUCCUUCUCACCAUGUGCCUGAAUGAGAUACCACAUGCAAUUUUAUUCAGUGUAGAUCUGUGAGCAAACAUA
This is a long non-coding RNA of Tachysurus vachellii, 678 nucleotides long. RefSeq lists it as uncharacterized. The transcript has 5 exons. The record is from RefSeq and is a predicted model, not a curated record. Lineage: Eukaryota; Metazoa; Chordata; Actinopteri; Siluriformes; Bagridae.